CCCUGGCUCAGGACGAACGCAGGCGGCGUGCCUAAUACAUGCAAGUCGAGCGAAUGAUGAAGAAGCUUGCUUCUUCUGAUUUAGCGGCGGACGGGUGAGUAACACGUGGGCAACCUACCUAGUAGAUUGGGAUAACUCCGGGAAACCGGGGCUAAUACCGAAUAAUCCAUUUUGUCACAUGGCAAAAUGCUGAAAGGCGGUUUCGGCUGUCACUACUAGAUGGGCCCGCGGUGCAUUAGCUAGUUGGUGGGGUAAUGGCCUACCAAGGCAACGAUGCAUAGCCGACCUGAGAGGGUGAUCGGCCACAUUGGGACUGAGACACGGCCCAAACUCCUACGGGAGGCAGCAGUAGGGAAUCUUCCACAAUGGACGAAAGUCUGAUGGAGCAACGCCGCGUGAGUGAUGAAGGUUUUCGGAUCGUAAAACUCUGUUGUAAGGGAAGAACAAGUACGUUAGUAACUGAACGUACCUUGACGGUACCUUAUUAGAAAGCCACGG
This 498-nucleotide ribosomal RNA is filed under the name Kurthia sp. CL6.57. RNAcentral's name for it is "bacterial SSU rRNA". It matches the Rfam family "Bacterial small subunit ribosomal RNA", at positions 17 to 496 of the family's 1533-position model. The record is from RNAcentral. Lineage: Bacteria; Bacillati; Bacillota; Bacilli; Caryophanales; Caryophanaceae.